RNAcentral lists this ribosomal RNA (494 nucleotides) under uncultured bacterium. RNAcentral describes it as "bacterial SSU rRNA". It matches the Rfam family "Bacterial small subunit ribosomal RNA", at positions 28 to 507 of the family's 1533-position model. The record is from RNAcentral.
GAUGAACGCUAGCUACAGGCUUAACACAUGCAAGUCGAGGGGAAACGACAUCGAAAGCUUGCUUUUGGUGGGCGUCGACCGGCGCACGGGUGAGUAACGCGUAUCCAACCUGCCCAUCACUUGGGGAUAACCUUGCGAAAGUAAGACUAAUACCCAAUGACGUCUCUAGAAGACAUCUGAAAGAGAUUAAAGAUUUAUCGGUGAUGGAUGGGGAUGCGUCUGAUUAGCUUGUUGGCGGGGUAACGGCCCACCAAGGCGACGAUCAGUAGGGGUUCUGAGAGGAAGGUCCCCCACAUUGGAACUGAGACACGGUCCAAACUCCUACGGGAGGCAGCAGUGAGGAAUAUUGGUCAAUGGGCGGAAGCCUGAACCAGCCAAGUAGCGUGCAGGAUGACGGCCCUAGUGGGUUGUAAACUGCUUUUAUAUGGGGAUAAAGNGAGUUACGUGUAGCUUAUUGCAGGUACCAUAUGAAUAAGGACCGGUCUAAUUCCGUG